This 79-nucleotide transfer RNA is filed under the name Nitrososphaerota archaeon. Its description in RNAcentral is "tRNA-Arg". It matches the Rfam family "tRNA". From Rfam's summary of the family: Transfer RNA (tRNA) molecules are approximately 80 nucleotides in length. Their secondary structure includes four short double-helical elements and three loops (D, anti-codon, and T loops). Further hydrogen bonds mediate the characteristic L-shaped molecular structure. tRNAs have two regions of fundamental functional importance: the anti-codon, which is responsible for specific mRNA codon recognition, and the 3' end, to which the tRNAs corresponding amino acid is attached (by aminoacyl-tRNA synthetases). tRNAs cope with the degeneracy of the genetic code in two manners: having more than one tRNA (with a specific anti-codon) for a particular amino acid; and 'wobble' base-pairing, i.e. permitting non-standard base-pairing at the 3rd anti-codon position. The record is from RNAcentral. Lineage: Archaea; Thermoproteati; Nitrososphaerota.
GAUCCCGUAGCUCAGCAUGGAUUAGAGCGCUGGCCCUCUAAGCCGGAGGUCGUGGGUUCGAAUCCCACCGGGAUCGCCA